This is a long non-coding RNA of Zingiber officinale, 597 nucleotides long. RefSeq lists it as uncharacterized. The record is from RefSeq and is a predicted model, not a curated record. NCBI's taxonomy places the organism in Eukaryota, Viridiplantae, Streptophyta, Magnoliopsida, Zingiberales, Zingiberaceae. The transcript has 3 exons.
AUAGAUUAUUGGAUCAACAAAGAAAAUUGUAUGGCAUUGUUCUGUAAAGCUGCAGAUGUAUUGGAUCACGGUGCAUUUGCUUGAAAACUGUUUCGUGCUUGUGUAAUUCUAUUGUGGUCAGUGUCUUAAGAAUAGGCAGUUUGUUGCCCCUAAACCCUCUGUGCAUUGCAUACCUGAUCUCUUUUCCUUUAUGGACAUUUGAAUUAUGGUGAAGACUCUAGAUGAUUUUGGGUAUUCUGCAUCAAAACGUUGUGAGGCAUGGCUGAAGGUAAAGCGUGAUUAUGUUGAAGGAAUAGGUGACAGUCUUGAUCUUGUUCUUAUUAGUGCUUGGCAUGGAAAUGGAAGAAAAGUUGGAUGGUACAAAUUUUGAGUUUUUUGUUCUGUUGUCAUUUUUUAUGAAAUCCAUGGCGUUUGACAUUUCACAAGGAUAUUUCAUAUUUGUGGAUUCCAUCGUUCAAGUAUAGUCCUUUCCUCGUGGCGUGCUACAAUCCAGAUACUGAAGAAUUUCAAAGUGUCUGUCGCAUCAUGUCUGGUUUUUCAGAUUCAUUUUAUUUAGAGGUACUCUUUUUUUGUUUGGUUUCAUGCCCAGCUCAUACA